AGCAGUCGCCGCGGGAAUACAGAGGGUGCGAGCGUUAAUCGGAUUUACUGGGCGUAAAGCGUGCGUAGGCGGCUUCUUAAGUCGGAUGUGAAAUCCCUGAGCUUAACUUAGGAAUUGCAUUCGAUACUGGGAAGCUAGAGUAUGGGAGAGGAUGGUAGAAUUCCAGGUGUAGCGGUGAAAUGCGUAGAGAUCUGGAGGAAUACCGAUGGCGAAGGCAGCCAUCUGUCCUAAUACUGACGCUGAGGUACGAAAGCAUGGGGAGCAAACAGGAUUAGAUACCCCGGUAGUCCCUGUCUCUUAUAC
This 303-nucleotide ribosomal RNA is filed under the name uncultured bacterium. RNAcentral's name for it is "partial 16S ribosomal RNA". It matches the Rfam family "Bacterial small subunit ribosomal RNA", at positions 507 to 807 of the family's 1533-position model. The record is from RNAcentral.